CUCGUAUGGUCAUGCUCAGUACAAGUUAUUUUCUAACGAUCCAUACUUAUUGCUCAUGCUCUACACUGUAGAUCAGAGACUCAUCUAUCUCGAAGGAAGCGAUCUGUACGUCGGUCUAUCCAGAUAGAUCAUCAUUCUCAUGAUGAUACUGUGACUAGGAGUAUUUGAAAAUUUUAUACUUGUCUCUAAUUCUCAAUACUUUGAGAAUAUGUAUUGAAGUAUUAAUUCCAUGGAUGAUUGAAAGGCACAUUACUC
RNAcentral lists this long non-coding RNA (255 nucleotides) under Elaeis guineensis (African oil palm). RNAcentral's name for it is "long non-coding RNA (EGUI_LNC043956)". Lineage: Eukaryota; Viridiplantae; Streptophyta; Magnoliopsida; Arecales; Arecaceae. The record is from RNAcentral.